AAAUUUGAUAUGUUUUAAUCAUAAUAACACUAAAUUAACAAAACUUUUUCUAAAUGCUUUUUUCAACAAGCACACUUCUUUUACCCUAAAACUCAACAUCAAAAGGGGCCUAAGACUGUUGAAGGCCCAGCAACAGCAGCAGCUCUUAUGCAUUAAUAGAUUUCUACACAUUGCACUAUUUCAGAACAAUGCUUUGCAUUAGAAAGCUACGUGUUAUCAGUAACUCAGAAACAAAGACGAUGCAAGGCCCUUUCAAAUUUCAAUCAACUUCAUAAAAAAACAAAGAACCAUUUAACUUCCUAAAUUAUCCAACUCAGAUCAACAAAUACAAAUCCAUCAAUGCCCAAAUACUCAUGAUUGUACAAAAACCAACCCAUAAAGAUUACUUUCUUUAUUCAUUUCAACACUUCUCCUUGACCUUACAAGACAAAAAAAAUUCAUACUUUAGGCAAGUACCUGUAGGCAAGCACACAACAGGCAGAGAAUACAAGCCCGUAAGGAUCAUUAUAAUAAGCAAACCAGCAGUA
Molecule: unclassified non-coding RNA, 527 nt
Filed under: Hevea brasiliensis (rubber tree)
Lineage: Eukaryota; Viridiplantae; Streptophyta; Magnoliopsida; Malpighiales; Euphorbiaceae
Source: RNAcentral